Molecule: ribosomal RNA, 696 nt
Filed under: Triticum aestivum (bread wheat)
Lineage: Eukaryota; Viridiplantae; Streptophyta; Magnoliopsida; Poales; Poaceae
Description: partial small subunit ribosomal RNA
Source: RNAcentral
AUGGCGGCAUCGAACUCGUACGAGGAGCAGCGCCGUAGGCAGAUGGAGGACAACCGCCGGAAGCUCGACGAGCUCCGCCUGCACCAUCUCUCCGCCGCCGCCCGCGAGGCCGCCGCCAGGCCCAAGCCCAACCCCAAGCCCAGGCCGAAGCGCAAGGCCCCGGAGCCCGGCGAGCUCCGGCGGUCCGGCCGCGUCGCCGGCCUCCCGGAGCAGCCCAACUACCUCAAGGGCGACUACCGUGGAGUGUACGAGGCGUAUGCCGCUUCGAAAACACCGACCGACGAGGAGAGGGCCGGCGCCGUCGCCAAGGCCGAGGAGCUCCAGCGCCGGAUCCACCGCAUCCGCUGGCCCGCCUUCGUCAAGCCCAUGAGCCACGAAUGCGCCACCAGGUCAAUCCUGAUGCAAUUCCCCAAGCACUUCAUCAAGUAUCUACCGGCGCACGAUGAGGCAGCCGUCCUGGUGGACGAGGCGGAUGACGAGUUCCACAUGAUGUACAAUGCCCACAGAAAGGGCAAACACUGUCACUACUAUCUCGACAAGGGGUGGAGACGGUUCGCUGCCGACCAUGACCUUGCCGAUGGCGAUUGCUUGGUUUUUCACAUGACACAGAGGGCAAAGUUCAAGGUCUACAUUUUUAGAGCAAGCCCAGACUAUGAAAGCGACCAAACUUCUGAUGACUCUGAGGAUGAAGAGUAA